Molecule: ribosomal RNA, 459 nt
Filed under: uncultured bacterium
Lineage: Bacteria
Description: partial 16S ribosomal RNA
Rfam family: Bacterial small subunit ribosomal RNA
Source: RNAcentral
CCUACGGGUGGCAGCAGUGAGGAAUAUUGGUCAAUGGGCGCGAGCCUGAACCAGCCAAGUCGCGUGAGGGAAGACGGUCCUAUGGAUGGUAAACCUCUUUUGUCGGGGAGCAAAAGACGCCACGCGUGGCGUUCCGAGAGUACCCGAAGAAAAAGCAUCGGCAAACUCCGUGACAGCAGCCGCGGUAAUAGGGAGGAUGCGAGGGUUGUCCGGAUGUAUUGGGUUUAAAGGGUGCGGAGGCGGAAGAUCAAGUCAGCGGUAAAAUUGAGAGGCUCAACCCAUUGGAGCCGUUGAAACUGGUUUUCUUGAGUGAGUGAGAAGUUAGCGGAAUGCGUGGUGUAGCGGUGAAAUGCAUAGAUAUCACGCAGAACUCCGAUUGCGAAGGCAGCAUACCGGCGCUCAACUGACGCUCAUGCACGAAAGUGUGGGUAUCGAACAGGAUUAGAUACCCGAGUAGUC